This 283-nucleotide small RNA is filed under the name Candidatus Regiella insecticola 5.15. Lineage: Bacteria; Pseudomonadati; Pseudomonadota; Gammaproteobacteria; Enterobacterales; Enterobacteriaceae. The record is from RNAcentral.
UCCCUGAAUAAGAACGGUAUUAUACGGAGUAUAAACGACGUAACCGUGAUAGUAGUAUAAGCCAAGUAUAGUGAUAUUCAUUGUCUUAGAUUACUAGCAAUAGAAGAGAAGGAUUAAUGGCAGGAUGCUACAAACAUGCAAAGGAUUGCGGGUAAAGGAUUGCGGGUUAGGAUAACCAUUAAAAGGAUAAGUUUUCAAGGACGAAGCAAGGAGCACUACUUUUAGCUGGAUUGCUAUAAAACGAACCCGAAGGCACUGUUCAACAGUGCCUUCUUCGUCAGUG